Columba livia (rock pigeon) is the source of this 346-nucleotide long non-coding RNA. RefSeq lists it as uncharacterized. The record is from RefSeq and is a predicted model, not a curated record. NCBI's taxonomy places the organism in Eukaryota, Metazoa, Chordata, Aves, Columbiformes, Columbidae. The transcript has 3 exons.
AAGUAUUCUAGGACAUAAUUAGGAGGCUGCAAACACUGGGAAGGAAAGAAGUCUGAAGCUCUUCUCCACAAAAAGGAAAAGCUCCCAAACCAACGCAAACAGAAGGAACUGGGGAAGAGAGAGAAUGUCUUAGAUGCAGAAGAGAAAGCCGAAAUGCAAAAUCUGCUAUACCAGGGGAAGGAUAGCGACAAGACUACGUAAAUUUAAGACAAUAACCACCAUCAGCACAUUCCUACAGGGCAGCUGGAAUGGGACAUGCUGGGACACCAGGAUCUACCUGCACGGACCAGCAACUGGGGGACAGCUAAGGGAAGGGGGAGAGCUCUCCCAACAAAUGCCACCAACA